AGUGGCGGACGGGUGAGUAACGCGUGGGCAACCUGCCUUACACAGGGGGACAACAGCUGGAAACGGCUGCUAAUACCGCAUAUGCGCACAGGGCCGCAUGGCCUGGUGCGGAAAACUCCGGUGGUGUAAGAUGGGCCCGCGUCUGAUUAGGUAGUUGGCGGGGUAACGGCCCACCAAGCCGACGAUCAGUAGCCGGCCUGAGAGGGUGGACGGCCACAUUGGGACUGAGACACGGCCCAAACUCCUACGGGAGGCAGCAG
This 260-nucleotide ribosomal RNA is filed under the name uncultured bacterium. RNAcentral describes it as "partial 16S ribosomal RNA". It matches the Rfam family "Bacterial small subunit ribosomal RNA", at positions 94 to 354 of the family's 1533-position model. The record is from RNAcentral.